Molecule: ribosomal RNA, 1514 nt
Filed under: uncultured archaeon
Lineage: Archaea
Description: bacterial SSU rRNA
Rfam family: Archaeal small subunit ribosomal RNA
Source: RNAcentral
GCGGCCAGUGUCUGAGGCUCGCUGCAUCGCGUGUCGCCCUUUUCCGGUUGAUCCUGCCGGAGGCUACUGCUAUCGGGGUCCGACUAAGCCAUGCGAGUUGAGAGGGGUAAGCCCUCGGCAUAUUGCUCAGUAACACGCGGAUAACCUGCCCUUGGGUUCGGGAUAACCCCGGGAAACUGGGACUAAUACCGGAUAGAUCAAAGAAACUGGAAUGUUCUCUGGUCAAAAACUCUGGUGCCCAGGGAUGGGUCUGCGGCCUAUCAGGUAGUAGUGGGUGUAACGUACCUACUAGCCUACGACGGGUAAGGGUUGUGAGAGCAAGAGCCCUGAGAUGGAUUCUGAGACAUGAAUCCAGGCCCUACGGGGUGCAGCAGGCGCGAAAACUUUACAAUGCGGGACACCGCGAUAAGGGGACCCCGAGUGCCAGCACCUAGUGCUGGCUGUCCAGCUGUUCAAAUAACAGUUGUUAGCAAGGGCCGGGCAAGACCGGUGCCAGCCGCCGCGGUAACACCGGCGGCCCGAGUGGUAGCCGUUAUUAUUGGGUUUAAAGGGUCCGUAGCCGGCCUAUUAAGUCUCUUGGGAAAUCUGGCGACUUAAUCGUCAGGCGUCCAAGAGAUACUGGUAGGCUUGGGACCGGGAGAGGUGGGAGGUACUCCAGGGGUAGGGGUGAAAUCUCGUAAUCCUUGGGGGACCACCGAUGGCGAAGGCAUCCCACCAGAACGGGUCCGACGGUGAGGGACGAAAGCUGGGGGCACGAACCGGAUUAGAUACCCGGGUAGUCCCAGCCGUAAACGAUGCUCGCUAGGUGUCAGGUGCGGUGCGACCGCAUCUGGUGCCGCAGUGAAAACUUGAAGCGAGUCACCUGGGAAGUACGGUCGCAAGGCUGAAACUUAAAGGAAUUGGCGGGGGAGCACUACAACGGGUGGAGCCUGCGGUUCAAUUGGAUUCAACGCCGGAAAGCUUACCGGGUCAGACAGCAAUAUGAAGGUCAAGCUAAAGACUUUACCGAAUUCGCUGAGAGGAGGUGCAUGGCCGUCGUCAGUUCGUAUCGUGAGACAUCCUGUUAAGUCAGGCAACGAGCAAGACCCGUGCCCACAGUUGCCAGCAUACCCUCCGGGGUGAUGGGCACACUGUGGGGACCGCCGCUGCUAAAGCGGAGGAAGGUGCGGGCUACGGUAGGUCAGUAUGCCCCGAAUCAUCCGGGCUACACGCGGGCUACAAUGGUUGGGACAAUGGGCACCUACACCGAGAGGUGAUGGUAAUCUCCUAAACCCAGCCUUAGUUCGGAUUGAGGGCUGCAACUCGCCCUCAUGAAGCCGGAAUCCGUAGUAAUCGCGUAUCAAUAUCACGCGGUGAAUACGUCCCUGCUCCUUGCACACACCGCCCGUCAAACCAUGCGAGUGAGGUCUGAAUGAGGGCACGCUUUUUGGCGUGUUCGAAUUUGGGCUUCGCGAGUGGGGUUAAGUCGUAACAAGGUAACCAAGGGCGACACGCGAUGCAGUCAAUACUGACGA